CCCUAUGGGGUGCAGCAGGCGCGAAACCUCCGCAAUGCACGGAAGUGCGACGGGGGGACCCCAAGUGCCACUCUUAACGGGGUGGCUUUUCUUGAGUGUAAAAAGCUUUUGGAAUAAGGGCUGGGCAAGACCGGUGCCAGCCGCCGCGGUAACACCGGCAGCUCAAGUGGUAGCCAUUUUUAUUGGGCCUAAAGCGUUCGUAGCCGGUUUGAUAAGUCUCUGGUGAAAUCCUAUGGCUUAACUGUGGGAACUGCUGGAGAUACUAUUAGACUUGAGGUCGGGAGAGGUUAGCGGUACUCCCAGGGUGGGGGUGAAAUCCUGUAAUCCUGGGAGGACCACCUGUGGCGAAGGCGGCUAACUGGAACGAACCUGACGGUGAGGGACGAAAGCCAGGGGCGCGAACCGGAUUAGAUACCCGGGUAGUCCUGGCCGUAAACGAUGUGGACUUGGUGUUGGGAUGGCUUCGAGCUGCCCCAGUGCCNAANGGAAGCUGUUAANUCCACCGCCNGGGAANUACGGUCGCAAGACUGAAACUU
Molecule: ribosomal RNA, 536 nt
Filed under: uncultured archaeon
Lineage: Archaea
Description: bacterial SSU rRNA
Rfam family: Archaeal small subunit ribosomal RNA
Source: RNAcentral